Molecule: long non-coding RNA, 407 nt
Filed under: Salvia miltiorrhiza (redroot sage)
Lineage: Eukaryota; Viridiplantae; Streptophyta; Magnoliopsida; Lamiales; Lamiaceae
Description: long non-coding RNA (SMIL_LNC012905)
Source: RNAcentral
ACUGGGUCAACUUACCAUCACUAGGAUGUCCUUGUUCUAUUGCAAGUCAAACUAGAGGUGUUCUAGGUUGAGUCAAAUUUUGGCGCCGUUGCCGGGGAAGGUUUUAGGCGUUUAAUUGUGUCACUUUUCUUUCCGUUUUUCUUGUUUUCUGUACUUUACGUUUUUAUUUUUUUUACUUUUCUUUUCCUCCCACCCGGUGCGUUUAAUCCGUGUGUUAAGUGUUGUGUAUGGCUCAGAACAUGGAGUACAUGGGAGAUUUCACCCGGCCCGUCAUCGGAGACACCAACACAUCGGCUAUUGUGCUUCCACCCGCCGUCAGAGAUUACAAUCUAAAGCCGAAUGAUUCAAGUCUUCUACCUCUGUUCCAUGGGAUGCCGAGUGAAGAUGCCCUACAAUUCAUCCGUGAU